RNAcentral lists this transfer RNA (67 nucleotides) under bovine gut metagenome. It matches the Rfam family "tRNA". From Rfam's summary of the family: Transfer RNA (tRNA) molecules are approximately 80 nucleotides in length. Their secondary structure includes four short double-helical elements and three loops (D, anti-codon, and T loops). Further hydrogen bonds mediate the characteristic L-shaped molecular structure. tRNAs have two regions of fundamental functional importance: the anti-codon, which is responsible for specific mRNA codon recognition, and the 3' end, to which the tRNAs corresponding amino acid is attached (by aminoacyl-tRNA synthetases). tRNAs cope with the degeneracy of the genetic code in two manners: having more than one tRNA (with a specific anti-codon) for a particular amino acid; and 'wobble' base-pairing, i.e. permitting non-standard base-pairing at the 3rd anti-codon position. The record is from RNAcentral.
AGAGUAGCUCAAUUGGUUAGAGCGCCAGAUUGUGGUCCUGGAGGUCGAGGGUUCGAUUCCCUUCUCU